CACGAGUUUCGUACGUGAUCGUCCUCGUUCAGAAGAUACGCUUCGUCUUUUACCGUUCAAGGUCAGCGAAUUGACGGAAACCAAGCGAAAAAAAAGAAGGAAAAGAAGGAAGUAAUGGAAAGAAAAAGGACGCAGAUGUAGGGGAACGAACGAACGAACGAACGAGAUCCGAACACUUUGAACGUCGUCGCACGACUGAACAACCAUUCGCGACUUUCACUUGAAGAUCGAGGAGAAGUGAAACAAAGAAGAAAGAGAAGCCUCUCUCCUUCGUGUUCAUCGUGAUAGUCCAGUAAUCGACGCGUAAUCGAAGCAGGUUUUAACCAGGCGUCUACCUCUCCUGGCAUAAUCUGACUUUCCAUCGUUAUACAGUUACUCGAGGGUGAAAGGUAUAUGUGUAUAUACGUGAUGAAAGUGACAUCAUAUUCUCUUCACGAACCAGUUCUCAUUGACUCUUAAUACCGGUUUUCUUCGAUGAAACCUUCAUAGCAUUCUACACUCCUGAUGGCGUUGUUCAUCGGGUGAGGUCGUAACCUUAAGAGCUCGUACAUUUUACGUGAGAAUAAUUGCGAGAAAUUGGACAGUAUAACCAAGGAAAUAGCAUUAUUCAAAUAGAGUGUAACGAAUUAAUAGAAAAUCGAUGAAACGACACUGGUUUUUCUUUCUUAUCGAAUCGCUUUCUCCAUUAAAAUCUUUCUUUAUUCUUCAUGAACGACGAAGAAACAACAUUGCCGAAGUACACGAAGAUAUCCGAUGAUCUUAGGAGCGAGUACUUUCACAUGAAAUGGAGUGAGUCGUUUGUGGUCGAGAGACUUGAAUCUUAAAGCAAAGGUAUAACCUUAGGAAAACGAAGAUGCGGUUGUACCAAAGAAGAAGAAGAAGAAGAAGAAAAAGAAGAAAAAAAGAAGAAGUAGAAGUUGUCUUUGUGAUAUAUAAUUUAAUGCUCGACAACCGAACGGUAAUAUUCCUGACUACAGACGAAAACACUUAUACACAUAAAACAUUUAUUUAUUUUUUAAAUUUGCAUACUUUCCUCAUUAAUUAUUCUGGACGUUCGAAGGAACAAGAUAGGUGACUAAGUCCAAUUCGUUUUAUGACGAGAUACAACGUAGAAGACUACCUUCGAGUAAUAUUCUUUCGAGGAUUCAUUUCGUGUCUCACGAUUUAUUUUUUGUUCUUCUUUUUCUUAUUUUGGCCAUAAGCGUUAAAAUAAAUAUAUUAAACUUAAUAUAACAAUACUCUAUUUGGUUUAUUAAUAGAUCUAGGAAGAAAUAUUUUUCUGCUUGAACGCA
This is a long non-coding RNA of Vespa mandarinia (Asian giant hornet), 1292 nucleotides long. RefSeq lists it as uncharacterized. The record is from RefSeq and is a predicted model, not a curated record. Lineage: Eukaryota; Metazoa; Arthropoda; Insecta; Hymenoptera; Vespidae.